This 929-nucleotide ribosomal RNA is filed under the name Lactiplantibacillus paraplantarum. RNAcentral's name for it is "bacterial SSU rRNA". It matches the Rfam family "Bacterial small subunit ribosomal RNA", at positions 75 to 991 of the family's 1533-position model. Lineage: Bacteria; Bacillati; Bacillota; Bacilli; Lactobacillales; Lactobacillaceae. The record is from RNAcentral.
AUGAUUUACAUUUGAGUGAGUGGCGAACUGGUGAGUAACACGUGGGACACCUGCCCAGAAGCGGGGGAUAACACCUGGAAACAGAUGCUAAUACCGCAUAACAACUUGGACCGCAUGGUCUGAGUUUGAAAGAUGGCUUCGGCUAUCACUUUUGGAUGGUCCCGCGGCGUAUUAGCUAGAUGGUGAGGUAACGGCUCACCAUGGCAAUGAUACGUAGCCGACCUGAGAGGGUAAUCGGCCACAUUGGGACUGAGACAGGCCCAAAACUCCUACGGGAGGCAGCAGUAGGGAAUCUUCCACAAUGGACGAAAGUCUGAUGGAGCAACGCCGCGUGAGUGAAGAAGGGUUUCGGCUCGUAAAACUCUGUUGUUGAAGAAGAACAUAUCUGAGAGUAACUGUUCAGGUAUUGACGGUAUUUAACCAGAAAGCCACGGCUAACUACGUGCCAGCAGCCGCGGUAAUACGUAGGUGGCAAGCGUUGUCCGGAUUUAUUGGGCGUAAAGCGAGCGCAGGCGGUUUUUUAAGUCUGAUGUGAAAGCCUUCGGCUCAACCGAAGAAGUGCAUCGGAAACUGGGAAACUUGAGUGCAGAAGAGGACAGUGGAACUCCAUGUGUAGCGGUGAAAUGCGUAGAUAUAUGGAAGAACACCAGUGGCGAAGGCGGCUGUCUGGUCUGUAACUGACGCUGAGGCUCGAAAGUAUGGGUAGCAAACAGGAUUAGAUACCCUGGUAGUCCAUACCGUAAACGAUGAAUGCUAAGUGUUGGAGGGUUUCCGCCCUUCAGUGCUGCAGCUAACGCAUUAAGCAUUCCGCCUGGGGAGUACGGCCGCAAGGCUGAAACUCAAAGGAAUUGACGGGGCCCGCACAAGCGGUGGAGCAUGUGGUUUAAUUCGAAGCUACGCGAAGAACCUUACCAGGUCUUGACAUACUA